CUUCCCCCAAAAUAUAGAUGUGAAGAUUCAUACCUCAUCUCUCAUGCACUACACGAUUAGAUACAUUUUGGACAAAACAGCCUCUUGGUCUUCUUUCUACAGAGGCGGAAAUGCAGUUCCUCUGCCUGAAGAGCUAGCGGCUGCGUCAGCGCACAGAGUGGCUGAAAUGCAAAUCACCUCUGUUCCAAGUGCACACAAGUGCACCUCUGUUCCAGUGCACUAAAAAGAUAACUGUUAUCACAGAACAAUGCCGCUGUCAAUGACCAAGUUUUCGAGGAAGCUCUGUGCACAAGCCUGACGUUCCUCAUGUGUCUCUGUCAGCCUUACAAAACACCCCAUCAGACUUUCUACGGAGGCAGAGAAACCAGGCUGACAAUGGAAUGAAGACCCUGGGCUUCGUCUGUUGCCAGAUUUUGAGGAACAGGGAGGUGCAGUGACUUCUCUGAUCGGCACAUUGCAGAAGAAUGCUUGGGCAUGUUCUGCUCAGCCCCGUCCUCCUUCUUCCUCUUGGGAUUGAAAAUGUCUGCCACAGGGAAAUCUGCUUCUCUGUGAAGCAGUCCACGUGCCUGGGGCUGUCUGGAGGAGUCUGCCUAAUGGGGGAGGGGAGGCGGGUAUAGUUGGCAGGCUCGUUGGCUCUCAUACUAAGCUGUAUUCUCCAAUUUAGCCUUUAUCGAUAAUAAAGGUGAUGUUUUGGCCAUGUUUGCACCCUUGCUUUAUUUCACAGUUUUCCCAGAGCCCAUGUAGGGAAGAGGGAUGCUAUGCAUUGGGUGCCACACCAGGCAGAUGACAGCCAGACCAUGGAGGGCUUGGAAUGCUCUGCCUUGAGUUUGGAAUCCCAGGAGGAGAGGGCCUGCAGAGGGAAGCAAUAAAUGCAGCCUUUGUAGGAAAAGUAUGGAUUUGGGUGUCAGAAGGACUGGGAGCCAGCCCCAAGCUCUGCCACUAACCAUCUGGGUAACUUUAGGCACGUUGCUUAAACUUCCCAGGCUUCAAUUUCCUCAUCUGUAGAAUGAGUUGGUUUAUAAAAUCUCUA
This is a long non-coding RNA of Felis catus (domestic cat), 1030 nucleotides long. RefSeq lists it as uncharacterized. NCBI's taxonomy places the organism in Eukaryota, Metazoa, Chordata, Mammalia, Carnivora, Felidae. The transcript is spliced from 3 exons. The record is from RefSeq and is a predicted model, not a curated record.